RNAcentral lists this long non-coding RNA (1062 nucleotides) under Cyanistes caeruleus (blue tit). RNAcentral describes it as "lncRNA (ENSCCEG00000005277.1)". Lineage: Eukaryota; Metazoa; Chordata; Aves; Passeriformes; Paridae. The record is from RNAcentral.
GGACUGGCUUGAAGUCUGCUCUGCCCCUGUCCUGGAGCAGUUUGGGGGCUGGAUGUGGAGCUGUGGGGGGAACGCAGGGUGAGCCCUCGAGGUCACGAGCUGGGGCAGAUGAGGCCAAAGGAGUCAAACCCCAAAGUGUCUGCUCCAGUUUCUGCACCUUCCCAGGCAUUGUGUGCCUCCCCUUAUCUGGGCUGAUAUUUGCAGUGCUGAUAAGAGAGGGUCUGUAACAAGUGUGCUGUGCCACAGAUAAAACCUGCAGUGCGUAAGAGCUGUUCCAGCUCGGGCUUAUCUGCACUAUGAAACCUGAAUAUCAGCAGGGCUUCGGGGAUGAGGCUGCCCUGGCUCCCUCAGCACAGAACAUUCAACCAGGGAUUGUGCUGCGAGUGCUGCUGCUCUGUUUUUCUCUGGUGCAAAAGCCAAAGGAUGAACCCUUGUUUUGUGAGUAUUUUAUUAUUUAUUUCCCUGCCGUGAUGGAUGUUAAGCAGGUACCAGAAAUACCUUCAGCUUUGGACACAACCUGCCCAAAACAGCUCUGGGAGCUCUGCAGGGGGAGGUGUUUGGCAAAGAGCUCUGCCCAGUUUAACCUGAACCAACAAUCCCAGCUCAGGGAGCAUCUUUGGGACCACUGGGAUGUGAAGGUGGCGAUGGGAAAAUUCUCCUGCUGCUGCGGGGGAGUGCUUCACCACCUCGUGGGAUGCUCACCUGGGCUGUUUUGCAGCUAAAACCCAUCCCCUGAGCGUUGUUUUUAUUCACCCUGGUGGCUGAGUGCACCUUGGUGUUCUGGGGUUGGCCUGGGAAUGUAACAGAGCUCUCCAAAGCCCCUCAGUUUCCUGCUUGUAGUGACUGGGUGGUGUGGAGGAGGCAGGGAUCCCAUGGAUAAAUGGCAUAGGGGAAAAAAUCCCAGUCUUAUGGAGCUGGGUAGAGGUGUCUGUGCUAUUUUUGGGCACUUUUCCCUGAGAGCCAUUGGCACGUGGAGGUGUCUGGCAGCUGAAGCCGCCUCUGCUGCUCCCCCAGCCCUGGUUCCCAGAGACUGGGGGUGGCUCUGAGUGAUUUGGGAGGGAG